UAAAGUCCUGUUGAAGUUUGUUAGUACCUUGCCUGGCUGAUACAACACUAAGGAAAUUAAAAUCAGUCUUUGUACAUUGACAGUAUAAAAAACAACAAAGGAGCAGCAAUGCCUCUGCUUUCCUGAUGCUGUCCCAGACAACAAUCCAAAGUAUGAGUCCCAAGCUGGGAUGUCUUAAUCACUAACUGCUGUACAUUUGUACAGAUCAAACUGUCAUGCUCACACACACACUGAGGAAAAGGAACAAGCAGACCACCCAUGCAUGUACCAAGGGGAGUGAGCAGACACCUGUGGGCCACAUUUUCUGUGAGAAAGUACCUGCAGUCCUGAAGAAUUUUAUUGUUAACAACUGCAGGUUGUGAACCAAAAUCUUCCCAUGGUGGACAACAGAUGGCUGUCUAUAAUAUUUCUCUCUGAAAGCUGAUGAAAUGUGUGAACUAGUUUAUAAAAUGUAAUCAACACAAAACAGUCUCAGGGGUACACAUACAAUAUGUACACAACACACUGUAUUGAACAAUCAGGACUAAUAAUAGACUGUCCACAAAGACUAUUCCACAGAAUGAACUCAAUACUAACAUCAUUCAGGCAAAAGCAUGAGAUAUCGGCCUUAUGCCAUAACCUGAAGGUCAACAGGGGGAGUGAGUUCUGGAGCAGAGGGCCCUCCACUGAGGAAGUUCUACCAGGAGUCUCAAACCAUACAAUUCUAGGGAGCACUAGCAAAAGCUAUCAGAUCUCCAAGUGUUACACUAAAGUCUGUCCUCCUUCUAAUGACCCUACCCCAGAAGGAAAAUAACUCUGCAGAACAUCUCAUUUCUUUUGUGGGAACAAGAUGAUACUGAAAUAGAGAUGGAGAAAAAAGUUUUCCCCAAGUCCAUUUGUAAAGAGCAUUUUUAGUUUUCAUAAGUCAGUACAAGGUUUUAAUAACAGGACAGUGGUGCCUUAUAUUUUUAUUACCAACUCUCACUCCAAAGGAUCCCAAGGCACUAUAUACACUAUGGGAUUGACAUAAAACAUUACUGAAAUGCAACUGUCUCUGAGAUGAAAGGGGCAUUGGAGGCUCCUCAGCGUAAGCAGUAGGUAGACAUUAUGCACCAUUACAAAAUGGUAGGAUACAGAUACAGUAGGAUUUUUGGCUGCUGCUGUAACCUGACCCAGAAAACAUCUUUACAUUUCAGUUUAGCCCACUUGUUUUCAGAAGUCACCAACAGCCACAGAGCACACACUUCAGUGCACAAGUCAGGGGAAGAGCAAAUUUUAGCCAAAGUCACCAAAGUCAUCCUAUCACUUCCAAAGAGGAACAAGGGAUCUUUAGUGUCCACCAGGACCAGAUGACAUUUCCCCCUUUUUUAGGAUUUGUCCAAAGCACCAUUAUUAUAGUAACUGCAUGAUCUGUUUGCCUACCUCAGAAAGAUGAAUGGCUGAGUGCACAUUGCCAGCAUGCAAACCUUGGGUUUCUGGGAGCCUACAUAUUUUAAAGCUUUGAAAACCAGGCCUUCACCCUCCACAGUAGUACACCAUUAUACAUUUAGCUCUAAAGCUAGUGGUUAUGAGGUGACGUACCUAAGAUGGAAACUAACUAUAAAAACACCUCCAUCCGAAUGGGGUCAGCCUCUCUUCUGUGGUGUGGCUGAUAUUUUGAAAUGACAUUUGCUUGUGUAGUGGAAAUUCCUCUCUUUGUUUUGAAGAGUACACAUAACCAUGAGAUUUAUGUACUGUUAUCUUUACAUUGUUCUCCUGUAAGCUUUUUGAAAGCUGGACCCAUAAAUCUGUUAACUAAAUAAAAAUGUGUUCCUCCACUGGC
This is a long non-coding RNA of Chelonoidis abingdonii (Abingdon island giant tortoise), 1801 nucleotides long. RefSeq lists it as uncharacterized. Lineage: Eukaryota; Metazoa; Chordata; Testudines; Testudinidae. The record is from RefSeq and is a predicted model, not a curated record.